UUUCUAGGUUUUGUCAAGAAGUUGACAUCCUGCUACUGCUCUACCUGAAUUUAUAAACUGAAGUAUAUCAAUUUUUGAACUUCUAUUAAGGAAAUUUUCCAGUAGAAGUAGUACAAUACUCCUAUCUCAGCUCCAAAAGUGAUCAGUUCAUGGUCAGCCUACCUUGUUCAUACCUACCAAUUCACCAUUCUACUUUGCACGCUUAUUUGGAAGAAAAUCCCAGACAACUGAUACCAUCCCCAAUUAUUUCAGUCUAAAAGGGUUCUAGGUUCCUGGAGCUCGAAACGGAGACCAGAGACCUGUAAACAACAGCCAAGGAGUAGCAAACUGGCUUACAAAAUACAAGUUGUAAAAAUGGUACAAAGAAUUCCUGUGUAGCCUUCACCCAGAUUUCCCAACUUGCUUCAUCACUCUCUCUCCCUCUGCAUGUGUGUAUGUACUGGAUUUUCUGAUACAUUUGAGAGUAAGUUGCAGUCAUGAUGUCCCCUUACCUGUAUUUUAGUGUAUACUCCCUAAAAAUAAGGAUCUUUAUCUUACAUAUCCAUAGUAGGAUUAUCGAAGUCAGGAAAUUAAAAAAAAAAUUAUAUUGACCUAAUCAAAUAUUACCAGUUUUCCUACCAAUGCCCUUUUCUGGUCCAGGAUCCAAUCUAGAAUCACAUAUUGCCUUUAAUUUACUUUCUUCUGAAAUAGUUCCUCAGUUUGUCUGUCUUCCAUGACCUCAACCUUUUUUGUUUUGAAGAGCUUUAUUUUUUCCAACAUUAUAGCUUGAUACAUUUCAAACCUCUAAGGAAAAUUAAGAGUAGUAGCAACCAGUACCUUUAUAUUCAUUACCCAAGUUUCAUUAGUAAUUAUAUUUUGCUACACACGCAUGAUUUCUCUGGGUAUAUAUAUGUAGCCACAUAUUUUUGUUUUCUGAACCAUUUAAGUCACUUCACCCUUAAAUACUCUAACACAUACCACCAAAGAUCGAGGACAUUUGCCCCCAUAGCCACAACUCAACUGUCAUCAUGGGAAAUUUAACAUUGAUACAGAUAUGUAAUAUACAGUUAUCUUAGAAUUUCCCAGAUUGUUGAAUUUGUUGUUGUUUAUAACUGGGGGUUGGUUGUUUGAUGCAGGGUCCAAAGUUUAUAUAUUGUAUUUAGUUUACUAUCUCCUAAGCUGCAUUAAUCUAGAAAAUUCCCCAUGAUUAGGUCCAUGUUUAAACAUUUUUGGUAGGCACACUACAUAGAUGAUACUGUGUUCUCAGUGUAUCACUUAGCAGGCACAUGUCAAUUUGUCCCAUUAUCAUUAAGUUUGGUCAUUUGACUAAAGUGGUGUCUACCAUAGUCCUCCAUUAUAAAGGUACUUUUAAUCUGUACUCUGUGGGGUUAUACAUGAAGAUUGAGUGAAUUCCCUGUUCCUUGAUAGUUUUCACCCAUGGCUUUAGCAUCCAUUAAUGGUCUUAUCUGAAUCAAGUUUUUGUUUUGUUUUAUUUUUUACUAUAGCAGUUGGAAAAUGGUGGUUUUCUAUUUCUAGCUGUUUAAACAUUUGUUGGUUGGCAUUCUUCUAUGAAGAGAGCUUUCCCUUCAUCUCUUACUAUUUCAAGUAUCUAUAGACUCUUAAGAUCUUAAAAAAAAAAAAAAAAUUCCUCUCAUUGUGAUGCUGACAUCAUCCCAAAUUAGGCCAGUGGAGACUCCUGUAGGCUAGCUCCUUCGACCUUUCGAUAUGUCCCCAUUAGUUUUGGGCAUUAUGUUACUUUCUUGUACAACAAGAUAGUCCAGGUUCGCCUUGUACUUUCUCUGCUUCAACCCCGGAACAAGCCAUUCCUCUAAGAAAUACAAGUUCCUGUUAGUGAGGGACCAAAUUCUGGCAAAAGGUAGACUCAUUGCUACUUGGUAUCAUCGUUUCUACGUCUUUUCGUAUGAAACCUCCAAUUCUACUCCAUCACUAUAGAGUUCUUUUGCUCCUUCCUCCCAGGGUAAAACAGGAGCUUUGUAGAAUGCUCUUUAAUUGAGGUCUGCCUGUUGUUUCAUGGUUAGACUCAGGUUUUGUGUUUUUGGUAGGAGUACAACAGAAGUGAGGUUGUAUCUUCCUCAGUGCAUCAGAUUAGGAGGCCCAUGUUGAUUGGUUCCAUGACUGAUGGUUUUAACUUUGGUCAUCGAUGGAGGUGGUGUCUAUCAGUGUUCUCUACUUAAAUGUUACUAGUUCCCCCUUUAUAAGUAAUAGUACCUUACAGAAGAGGUGUUUUGAGAUCACAUAAAUGCUGUUUUUAUCAUCAUUCUGCCUACUA
Lontra canadensis (Northern American river otter) is the source of this 2269-nucleotide long non-coding RNA. RefSeq lists it as uncharacterized. The transcript has 3 exons. NCBI's taxonomy places the organism in Eukaryota, Metazoa, Chordata, Mammalia, Carnivora, Mustelidae. The record is from RefSeq and is a predicted model, not a curated record.